GAUGAACGCUGGCGGCGUGCCUAAUACAUGCAAGUCGAGCGAACAGACGAGGAGCUUGCUCCUCUGACGUUAGCGGCGGACGGGUGAGUAACACGUGGAUAACCUACCUAUAAGACUGGGAUAACUUCGGGAAACCGGAGCUAAUACCGGAUAACAUGUUGAACCGCAUGGUUCAACAGUGAAAGACGGUCUUGCUGUCACUUAUAGAUGGAUCCGCGCCGCAUUAGCUAGUUGGUAAGGUAACGGCUUACCAAGGCAACGAUGCGUAGCCGACCUGAGAGGGUGAUCGACCACACUGGAACUGAGACACGGUCCAGACUCCUACGGGAGGCAGCAGUAGGGAAUCUUCCGCAAUGGGCGAAAGCCUGACGGAGCAACGCCGCGUGAGUGAAGAAGGUCUUCGGAUCGUAAAACUCUGUUAUUAGGGAAGAACAAAUGUGUAAGUAACUAUGCACGUCUUGACGGUACCUAAUCAGAAAGCCACGGCUAACUACGUG
RNAcentral lists this ribosomal RNA (497 nucleotides) under uncultured bacterium. Its description in RNAcentral is "partial 16S ribosomal RNA". It matches the Rfam family "Bacterial small subunit ribosomal RNA", at positions 28 to 507 of the family's 1533-position model. The record is from RNAcentral.